AUGCUUGCUUCAGGAGCACAUAUACUAAAAUUGGAAUACAGAGAAGGUUAGCAUGGCCCCUACGCAAGGAUGACAUGCAUUCGUAAGGUGUUCCGUAUUUUU
This is a small nuclear RNA of Loxodonta africana (African savanna elephant), 102 nucleotides long. The record is from Ensembl. NCBI's taxonomy places the organism in Eukaryota, Metazoa, Chordata, Mammalia, Proboscidea, Elephantidae.